Molecule: ribosomal RNA, 484 nt
Filed under: uncultured bacterium
Lineage: Bacteria
Description: partial 16S ribosomal RNA
Rfam family: Bacterial small subunit ribosomal RNA
Source: RNAcentral
AUUGAACGCUGGCGGCAGGCCUAACACAUGCAAGUCGAGCGGAUGAAGGGAGCUUGCUCCUGGAUUCAGCGGCGGACGGGUGAGUAAUGCCUAGGAAUCUGCCUGGUAGUGGGGGAUAACGUCCGGAAACGGGCGCUAAUACCGCAUACGUCCUGAGGGAGAAAGUGGGGGAUCUUCGGACCUCACGCUAUCAGAUGAGCCUAGGUCGGAUUAGAUAGUUGGUGGGGUAAAGGCCUACCAAGGCGAGGAUCCGUAACUGGUCUGAGAGGAUGAUAAGUCACACUGGAACUGAGACACGGUCCAGACUCCUACGGGAGGCAGCAGUGGGGAAUAUUGGACAAUGGGCGAAAGCCUGAUCCAGCCAUGCCGCGUGUGUGAAGAAGGUCUUCGGAUUGUAAAGACCUUUAAGUUGGGAGGAAGGGCAGUAAGUUAAUACCUUGCUGUUUUGACGUUACCAACAGAAUAAGCACCGGCUAACUUCGUG